CACACGCAUGACUGCAAGUCGCUUUGGAUAAAAGUGUCUGCUAAAUUGCAUAUC
Molecule: non-coding RNA, 54 nt
Organism: Salmo salar (Atlantic salmon)
Lineage: Eukaryota; Metazoa; Chordata; Actinopteri; Salmoniformes; Salmonidae
Source: Rfam